UCUGGGCGUGGUGGCACGUGCCUAUAAUCCCAGCAACUUGGGAAGCUGAGGCAGGAGGAUCACAUUAAAUCUCUCAUUUAAAAAGUUUGAAGUGCUCACAGUUCAAACUUUUUAAAUGAGAGAUUUAAUGUGAAAAAUGCAUCUU
Molecule: small RNA, 145 nt
Filed under: Marmota monax (woodchuck)
Lineage: Eukaryota; Metazoa; Chordata; Mammalia; Rodentia; Sciuridae
Source: RNAcentral